AUUCACACUUGUAUUCACUCUCCAUUUGUAAAGCGCUUCAUAGAUACUAACUAAUUAAUCCUCCGCUUCUUUCUUGCUCUCCCACCAUGAAGCAGGUGGCAUCUCCAUAUUACGUCGCUCAUUUGCAGAAAGAUAAACAUAAGAACAGCUUAUGUCAUAUCCUUACCGAGGUCCAGGAGUGUAAAGUAAAUACUGUGCUGCCUGGGGCCUUUGUGAAAUAAAAUUACCACAUAUUUUGAGCCUGAAAAUCUAAAUCGCAUAAAUAGAGCCACUGAAGACCUUUUGUCACAUGUGACAGAAAAGAUGGAUUCCUCAGGGAGUUUGUUUACUACACUGUCACAGCGGCUUCUCAUGAAUAUCCAUGAUGUGCAAGCUCCUGGGAAAACUGGAAGAACAGUGAGGAGAAGAAAAUGACUGUGUGUGCUUAAACACAGGCCCGAGCAAAGGCUAUGAAGGCGGUUCCUCCGGGCUUCCUCCACCCCAUCCAAGGUACUUCUGGGGUGAAAACCCCAUAACAAAAAGUAUUAAAGAAUAAAAGAGCCACUGCCCUUUGUAAAUAAGCAGCAGGGAUGUAUCAAGUAGGCAUAUGUCUAAAGAAGGAGAUAGACCAAGAGAAUGAGCUUCUACAAUAGAUUCCAUUGAGCUGUUAACAAGAUCCUGCCUUCACCCCAGCAUAUGGAAGUGCCCCCCAACAGUGCACUGAACAAGAAUGAAAGGUAGUACUCUGCCUAUAUUUAUGGUGUAUAAGCGAAGACAUGGUAUGUGUUACAAUUCUGAGAAUGAAAAGAGAACUCAAAACUGGAUAAGAAGUGGGAGCUGAAGCCAAAAGGCCUAAGGAAGGAAAUCUACCUUAGAUGAUUAGAGCCUGGACUUUCAGCACUAACUUGUAGCAAAAGGUAAGCAACUCCUAUGAGAAAGGAGUUAUGUUUAAAUAGCGUUUGAGGAGUAGAAGUUAAUUCAGGGAGGAAAAAAGACACCAGGAAGAAGAAAAAAAAAAAAAAAA
Molecule: long non-coding RNA, 1003 nt
Organism: Fukomys damarensis (Damara mole-rat)
Lineage: Eukaryota; Metazoa; Chordata; Mammalia; Rodentia; Bathyergidae
Exons: 2
Source: RefSeq, a predicted model, not a curated record